Long non-coding RNA from Heterocephalus glaber (naked mole-rat), 551 nucleotides. The record is from Ensembl. NCBI's taxonomy places the organism in Eukaryota, Metazoa, Chordata, Mammalia, Rodentia, Bathyergidae.
CACAUGUGGGAAGAGCCCUCUUCGGGGGCUGAGCGUGUUCCCCUCCCCAGUUUCCAACACGGCCGUCAGCCUGCGGUUUUGACCAUCGCUUCCUCCUGAGUUAAGCAAGGGAAGCAUCAACCUCAUAGCCCAGGGAAGUUCCUCCAGCUCCGCCCCUCGCGUCCGUUCUCCAGGCAUCGAGAAGAAAGACAGCAGAGAAAGAAUAUCCCCUGCAAGUUACACACAUCGCUUUCGCUCACCCACCGACCGGCCAAGACUAGAUCACAGGGCCACACCUGGCUGAAGGGAGUCUGGGCAAUUGCAAUUACUGCAGGGGCACCCCGGCCUCUUCAAAGCAUCCCGGCAGACGUGUUUUGGGCUGCAGAGCUCCAGGAAACACAAGAAGACCUUCCUGCGAUCGCUAAACCAAGCUGGUCUCAAUCCUCCUGCCUCAGCCUCCUGAGUGCUGGGAUUACAAGAGUGCACCACCGUGCCUGGUUUAUCUUCCAGGACUCUUGAAGUAAGAAAUGGUUCGGAAAGUUGCAGGGCCUUGGGGCCCUCUUGGCCUGGCU